RNAcentral lists this long non-coding RNA (6722 nucleotides) under Homo sapiens (human). RNAcentral describes it as "HSALNT0122113". Lineage: Eukaryota; Metazoa; Chordata; Mammalia; Primates; Hominidae. The record is from RNAcentral.
CAAGGGAAUCCGACCCGCAGCGAUCAGACCCCGCCCCUUCAGGGAGAACACGGCCCGUUGGCCCCGCUCACGGCGAGAGCACCGCCCACAGGCUGAAGAUCCUGCCCCUUCAGGACGGCCGAGAACGCGCCUGCCUUGCACCACCCCCACCCCGCCCCGCGUCCUUCAGGAGAGCCGGAAACGCUCCUACCCCUACUUCGCUUCUGCACGGCCGCGAGAACGCACCUGUCCAGCCCCCUGUUCGCUCCGCCCACUCAGCGCGCGCGGGAGCGCGCGCGGGAGCAGCUCCAACUUUUUCAAUUUGCCGCCAUCUUUACGGCGGCCGACUUCCCAGCCUGCCUCGCGUCCAGGGAGGCGGAGCUCAGGUCACACCUUGGCUGUAAAGUGUCCUAACAGCCACCUACUUAUGAUUACUGCUUUCUUACCAAUAACCUCCCCAGCCUGUUGUGUGGCUCCUACAUCUUGAACAAAAGCGACCAAGGCAUACAUCUGUAGGAGACCAGAAUAUGCCACCCCAAAAUAUGCCUCCUUGGCCUAAGGAUUAUUCUGAGCUAGUAAUUUUGAGAAACAGAAGCUAUGAAAACAGCAUAAGCUACCCCUUUGAAAGAGAAAUUCACCCCGGCCACCACCCCGUCUGGGAAGUGAGGAGCGUCUCUGCCCAGCCGCCCCGUCUGAGAAGUGAGGAGCCCCUCCGCCCGGCAGCCGCCCCGUCUGGGAAGUGAGGAGCCCCUCUGCCCGGCCGCCAGGCCGUCUGGGAGGUGUGCCCAACAGCUCAUUGAGAACGGGCCAUGAUGACGAUGGCGGUUUUGUCGAGUAGAAAGUGGGGAAAUGUGGGGAAAGGAAGGAGAGAUCAGAUUGUUGCUGUGUCUGUGUGGAGAGAAGUAGACACAGGAGACUCCAUUUUGUUAUGUACUAAGAAAAAUUCUUCUGCCUUGGGAUGCUGUUAAUCUAUAACCUUACCCUCAGCCCCAUGCUCUCUGAAACAUGUGCUGUGUCCACUCAGGGUUAAAUGGAUUAAGGGCGGUGCAAGAUGUGCUUUGUUAAACAGAUGCUUGAAGGCAGCAUGCUCGUUAAGAGUCAUCACCACUCCCUAAUCUCAAGUACCCAGGGACACAAACACCGGAAGGCCGCAGGGUCCUCUGCCUAGGAAAACCAGAGACCCUUGUUCACAUGUUUAUCUGCUGACCUUCCCUCCACUAUUGUCCUAUGACCCUGCCAAAUCCCCCUCUCUGAGAAACACCCAAGAAUGAUCAAUAAAUACUAAAAAAAAAAAAAGAGAAACUCACAGUCUUAAAAGAAAUCGCUCUUUGUAAGGGUGUCUCCCUCUCUGUACCAGGAAGAGAAAGUUGACUCUAAAUCACCAGAGACCCUUAUCAAUGGAGAAGGCAGCAACUUGUUUUGUGUGCUUCUCCGGGUCUUUUUCCCAAAACUGGCCUUCCUCACUCCCUUCUUUGUUUUUAGCUGAAGAUGGUACUUAAACCUGAAUUCUAAGCCACUCCUUUGAGAAUUACUCAUUUUCUUGGGCAUCUCACAUGUAUAUGCAAAGUAUACAUGUUAAUAUAGCUCCAUUUGUUUUUCUCCUGUUAAUCUUUUGAGCUGGGCAUGGUGGCUCCCGCCUAUAAUCCCAACAUCUUGGGAGGCCAAGGCAAGAGGAUUGCUUGAACCCAGGAGCUGGAGAUCAGCCUGGGCAACAUGACAGGAGCCCAUCUCUACGAAAUAAAAAAUUAAAAAAUUAGGGCCAGGCGCAGUGGCUGACACUUGUAAUCCCAGCACUUUGGGAAGCCGAGGCAGGUGGAUCACAAGGUCAGGAGUUCAAGACCAGCGUGGCCAAGAUGGUGAAACCCCCGCCUCUACUAAAAAUACAAAAAUUAGCCAGGCAUGGUGGCAAGCGCCUGUAAUCCCAGCUACUCGGGUGGCUGAGGCAGGAGAAUUGCUUGAACCCGGGUGGCAGAGGUUGCAGUGAGCCGAGAUCAUGCCACUGCACUCCAGCCUGGGUGACAGAGCAAGACUCUGUCUCAAAAAUAAAUAAAUAAAUAGCCAGGUGUUGUGGCAAGCUCCUGUAGUCCCAGUUACUUGGGAGGCUGAGAUGGGAGGAUCACUUGAGCCUGGGGGUGUGGAGGUUGCAGUGAGCCAUGAUAGCACCACUGUGCUCUAGCCUGGGAGACACAGUGAGACCCUGUCUCAAAAAAAAAAAAUCUAUCUUUUGUUACAAGGACUCUAGCUGAGAAUUUAGAAGGGUAGCAAGAAAAUUCAUCUUUCCUCCCCUAAAUAUGCUACUGAUAGAGGCGGGAGACAGCCAAAUGCCAUCCAGGUCAUUAUGCACAGGGGGCUUGCCUAAACAUGCCUACAGUGAAAAAUUCUAUCCCUUAACACAUGUGCAGUAAGGGAAAUAAAUCAGUGUGGAGUGGCUCAGAUUAGAGGCCUACAUGUGCACUGGGGAAAUGGGGUGGAGCCACCAGGAAUUCAUGCUUUAUGCAGGGGAGCCGGGCUUCUUCAGCUCCAGUAUGGUGGCCUGAUAUUCAGUCUGUGGAGUAGGAGCCUGUUGGCAGGACCACCUCUUUGCUAAGGGCUUUCUUUUCACUUAAUACAUUCUGACCCUUCAAUGUGUCCAUGUGCCUAAUUUUUCCUGAUCGGGAGACAAGAGCCCAGAUUUUAGCUGAACUAAGAAGAAAAAUAUCGUGCGUCACUAGUUGGCCUGGAAGAACAAUGGAAUUACUCAUUUGAGAUGUGGGUUUGAAGAAAGUUAUUUUUAGUAUUCUGAUAAGCAGUUAAAAUACUGCUGUCAUGUUUCUCUCUUUGUGCCAGUCUCAUGCAGUUUCCCAGCAAAAUCACAAUUAAACUGAUAAUGUGAUUUUUAUGUUUUGGCAUCCUUUCAGAUUUUGUUUUUUUUGUUUUGUUUUUGAGACGGGGUCUGGGUGUGUCACCCAAGCUGGAAUGCAUUGGCAUAAUCACAGCUCAUUGCAGCCUCAACCUCUGGGGCUCAAGUGAUCUUCCCACCACCUCAGCCUCCUGAGUAGCUGGGACUAUCAGCGGACGCCACCAUGACUGGCUAAUUUUUAAACUUUUUGUAGAGACGGGUUUUGUGAUGUUGCUCAAGCUGGUCUUGAACUCCUGGGCUAAAGCAAUCCUCCUGUCUGAGCCUCCUGAAGUGCUGGGAUUACAGGCCACGAUGUCUGGCCUCUAAUUACUUUGAUAAUAAGUAAGCAUCUCCCCUUCUCUUUUUUUUCUGAGACAGAGUCUCACUCUAUUGCCCAGGCUGGAGUGCAAUGGCACAAACUUGGCUUUGCCUCCUGGGUUCAAGCAACCUCUGCCUCCCAGGUUCAAGCAAUUCUCCUGCCUCAGCCUCCCAAGUAGCUGGGAUCACAGGCGUGUGCUACCAUGCCCGGCUAAUUUUUUGUAUUUUUAGUAGAGAUGGCGUUUCACCAUGUUGGCCAGCCUGCUCUUGAACUCCUAACCUGCCUUCCAAAGUAUUGGGAUUACAGGUGUGAGCCACCACGCCUGGCUCUUUGUUGUUUGUUUUUGAGCUGGAGUCUCGCUGUGUCACCCAGGCUGGAGUACAGUGGCGCCAUCUCGGCUUACUGCAACCUCCACCUCCUGAGUUCAAGCGAUUCCCCUGCCUCAGCCUCCUGAGUAGCUGGGACCGCAGGCAUGCACUACCACACCCAGCUAAUUUUUGUAUUUUUAGUAGAGACGGGGUUUCACCAUGUUGGCCACGCUGGUCUUGGAACUCCUGACCUCAGGUGAUCCGCUCACCUCAGCCUCCCAAAGUGCUGGGAAUACAGGUGUGAGCCACCGCGCCUGGCCGCAUCCCCCACUUCUCUAGUGAAUUUUUUGGGGUUAUCACUGUGUUAAAAAGCUCUUCUCUUUGAGUCCCUUGGGAGAUCCCACUUUCUUCAGUAACACACCUUCUCUGGCCCUUCGUAGCUAUUUACUUUCCCAGUACUCUUUCAUCAUCUUGAAACCACCAUUGCAAAAUUAUAACUGAGACAGUGACAGAGAUCUGACCGAACCAACUCCAUCUUGCUUCUAACUUCCAAGCUGUCCUUGUUCAUUCCUGAGUGUAGGCUGAACUAACUUUGGGAGGAACUUAGUUUAUAGUUUAAAAGAAAGACAAUAAUAGCCCUUUCCCAAAACAAACCCCCAUCUUGCCUGGGGACCAGAAUGCCUUUGUAGGAGUAACAAAUUAGCCAAAAGAUUAGAAAUUAUGAUUUAGGAGUCAUGCAGCUAGAGGCUACAGGAUUCUGACCCUCCCCAAAUUGCUCCCGGGAAUAACAUCACUGAAGUCUAAGAUCAGUGCUUGAGAUAUUUUGCAGACCUCGCACUGGAUGGAUCAGCUGGCACCACCCAGAUCGAUAAACUGGCUCAUCAGAUCUUGUGGCCCCCACCCAGGAACUGACUCAAGCACAAGACAGCUUCAAUUCCCUAUGAUUUCAUCUCUGACCCGAUCAAUCAGCACUCCUGACUCACUGGAUGCCACCCACCCUCCAAAUUAUCCUUAAAAACUGUGACCUCCAAAUGCUUGGGGAGACUCAUUUGAGUAAUAAAAAAAGUCCCAGUUUCCCACACAGCUGGCUCUGCAUGAAUUAUUCUUUCUCUAUUGCAAUUCACCUGUCUUGAUAAAUUGGUUCUGCCUAGGCAGCAGGCAAGGUGAACCUGUUGGGCCAUUACAAUCUCAUAGCAGUGGCAGAAUGGACAGACCAGUGAACCCUGUGCUAGGACAACCUGCACCAGGCCCUGGCUGUUGUAGGAGGUCCUUUUUUUUUUUUUUUUUUUUGAGAUGGAGUUUCACUCUUGUUGUCCAGGCUAGAGUGCAAUGGCGCGAUCUCGGCUCACCGCAACCUCCGCCCCCUGGGUUCAAGCAAUUCUCCUGCCUCAGCCUCCCAAGUAGCUGGGAUUACAGGCAGGCACCACCACGCCCGGCUCAUUUUGUAUUUUUAGUAGAGACCGGGUUUCUCCAUGUCAGUCAGGCUAGCCCCAAAUUCCUGACCUCAGGUGAUCCACCCGCCUCCCCGCCUCGGCCUCCCAAAGUGCUGGGAUGACAGGCAUAAGCCACCGCGCCCAGCCUGUUGUAGGAGGUCUUGAACAAACCACUUAACUUGUUUGGGUGGGGCUUAGUUUCCACGUUAGUAAUCUGGAAGUAACAGUUCUGCCUUAUCUGUCUGUUAGGGUUUUGACACUUAGUGAAGUAUGGGAUUUGUAUACUGUAAAGUGAUUGAAUGUAUUUACUAGGUGCAAUACAUAAAAUACGAGUUUCAAGCACUGCUCUGCUUUUACUUAUAGAACCACGUUCUCACUUUUCUAGCCUGAUCAUUCAAGACCCUUGAACACAUCGUCCUUAUCUCCCGCUCCUCAUUGAGACCCUUCCAGAACACUACAAACUUGCAGGCUCCUGUUCAUUCCCAAGGCUCCGUGUCCACAUCGUGCUUGGAUUCCGCCCGGCCCCGCCUGUGCGGCCGCACCAGGAAGGCACCACCCAUUAGGGGCUCAGCGCGUCCCUCCAGGCCACGCCGUCAGGCCUCCGUCCUUUUAGCUGUAGGGGCAGAUUACGUAACUCCAGCCUUCUGGUCACUAAAGGAGGGUAACAAAGGGCGGUCGAGAGACUCCACUGAGUUGACACGCAGACGCAGCCUCAGGACCCUAAACUCUACGCCCCAGCACACCCUACCAAGCGAGCGCCCGCGGCCGCGUGACGUCAUCUACCCCAAACGCUGUGGCCCCGGCCACGCACGGCUUCGGGGCGGGACUACGCGGUGACGUCGAGGUGCGCGGCGCAGCGCGCGGCGUCAGUCUUGGCUGGCAGACCUGUACUCCGUACUCCGUACUUCGUAGUCGCAGCGGCGCGGUCUUCGGCAGUCUAGUCAUCCACCGCCAUCCUGGGCCCCACGUGUUGCCUGACCAUUCCUGAGCCCAGGUGGGAGCCGUGGCUGAGGUGACGGUCUCAAAGUGGAAGAGCUUACUGUCACAGCAACUCCUUUGCAAGAUGCCCCGGUAAAUCACGUUGCAGAGACCCCAACUCUGCCUUCCUGGAACUAGGCCUGCGUUUUCUCUGAACCAUUAUUUCAUGGGGAAAAUGAAAUCUACUUCAUGUGCCUGGUCUACUUACUCCUUCAGAAGUGAUUUCUGAGCCGCCAGGAAUAGUUGCUGAACACCCCAGGCCUGCUGAGGUCCCUCCUUGAGUCUCAUGUUCAAGCAGUCUUUGUCCAUGAAACUGGGAGGCGACCGUGUUAGCUGCCAGUUCCUGACAGCCACCUCUCACCAGUGGCUUCACUCUGUGUCCCUGACCCAGCACAUGGCACAAGAGUGCCUGCCAUCCGUCAGUGUUUCUACAGCAGCAAUCCCAAGAUGCUGGAGCUAGAGGGGACCUGACCUGAGAGAAGAUACCUUCAGUGGCUGCCAGGCUGUUCCUUGGAACCUGUGCAGGGAUGAGGCCUGCCUGUGUUAAUACACCUAGUGAGGAGUGGAGCUGAAUUUGAAUGCAAGCCUUGGCACCUUAAUUGAGCAAGUUUGAAACCUCGCUUGUUGCCCUUCUGGAAGGAGUCAGGAAUUUCCAGUUCUGGGCCUGGGCUGUGGGUCUGGCAGACAGACCUCUGGCCCUAGGUUUGGGUGCCAGGUUCUCUGCUUCCAGAAUGAGAAGCUUUGCUGUGCACCAGGACCUGGGCCCUUCUGGUAUCUCCUGAAUGAAAAACAAGGGAUAUUUAAUAAAUAUGGAUUUAAAUAUGUGA